RNAcentral lists this long non-coding RNA (885 nucleotides) under Bos indicus x Bos taurus (hybrid cattle). Its description in RNAcentral is "lncRNA (ENSBIXG00005031027.1)". The record is from RNAcentral. Lineage: Eukaryota; Metazoa; Chordata; Mammalia; Artiodactyla; Bovidae.
GAGGUUUUGUGUUUUUGUUUUCUUUUUUUUUUUUUGCGUUCUAUUUAUUUUUAGUUUUCAAACAUGUUUAAAAUAUUGUUUCUGUUUUGGUAGGAAGAAGGUACUUUUUCAAUAACCUACUCUCUGGGGGAACUGUGUGGCAAUGGAGUGUGUGUGUGUGUGUGUGUGUGUGUGUGUGUGUGUGUCUUUCAGAGUUCAGCAGAGACUCUGAAGCAAGGAAAGUGUUUUGUGUUCGUCCCGCUGUGGCCUUGGUCUAGUUGUAGAUUACCACAUCCUGGGUAGUUUUACACACACCAACUUCAUGUGCUGCUGAAGCCAGAGGCUGUGAAUCCGCAGAAAAAGACCUAGUUCUUUUGAGCUCUGGUGAGAGACCCGAUACCCAACCAUUUAUUCCAGCUUUUCGAAUUUGUGCUGGUUGCAGGUUCACAGAGUAUGAAGGCCUCUGGUUCUAUUCAGCUGCCUCCUCUUUCGGUUUUUUAAUCUGUGGGCCUCCACUCAGUCAUCGAUGGGAGAAGAUUUCGGUUGGAGCUGCUUUGGCUUACAAAGGUAAUUGUAGCUGUUUGUGGAGAAAGGCUGACCUUAUAACCCCUCACCAAUUUAUCCAGAGACUAAGUACCGUCCUUUGUCGUAUAGCUGCCAUAUACCUUUUUAAUGUGCAUUAUUUCAUAUUUGUUUUUUACCAGGUGAUAUUUAGAGACAAGGAUAAAGUGACAUUGAAUGUAAAAGAAGAAAGUAUUGGUAAAGAAAUAUUCAAGGAGGUGUGUUCAAGUGGAAGGGGACGAGGAUAAACCUGUGGCUGAUUCAUGCCGAUGUUUGGUAGAAAGUAACACAGUAGUGUAAAGCAAUUACCCUUCAAUUAAAAAUAAAUAAAUUUACCAAGAGACA